Molecule: ribosomal RNA, 492 nt
Filed under: uncultured bacterium
Lineage: Bacteria
Description: partial 16S ribosomal RNA
Rfam family: Bacterial small subunit ribosomal RNA
Source: RNAcentral
AGUGAACGCUGGCGGUAGGCCUAACACAUGCAAGUCGAACGGAAGCACAGUAAGAGUUUGCUCUUACGGGUGGCGAGUGGCGGGCGGGUGAGGAAUACAUCGGAAUCUACUUUUUCGUGGGGGAUAACGUAGGGAAACUUACGCUAAUACCGCAUACGACCUACGGGUGAAAGCAGGGGAUCUUCGGACCUUGCGCGAUUGAAUGAGCCGAUGUCGGAUUAGCUAGUUGGGGAGGUAAAGGCCCACCAAGGCAACGAUCCGUAGCUGGUCUGAGAGGAUGAUCAGCCACACUGGAACUGAGACACGGUCCAGACUCCUACGGGAGGCAGCAGUAGGGAAUAUUGCACAAUGGGCGCAAGCCUGACCCAGCCAUACCGCGUGGGUGAAGAAGGCCUUCGGAUUGUAAAGCCCUGUUGUUAGGAAAGAAAAGCAGCAGGUUAAUACCCCGCUGUUCUGACGGCACCCAAAGAAUAAGCACCGGCUAACUUCGUG